GCAACAAAAAGAACAUCCUAAGUUCAAGCGAAAGGGAGAUGAUCUUUUUGUUGAGCACACAUUGACCUUGACUGAGGCCCUAUGUGGUUUCCAGUUUGUCUUGACUCACCUAGACAACAGACAGCUGCUCAUUAAGUCCCAACCUGGCGAAGUUGUCAAGCCUGGUAGGCCCAAAGAACCCCUAAUGACCUUUAAAAGAUUUUGUUUAAUGCAAUUGAGUCUCCAUCAUCAGUUAAUUACUCUGGCAAGUGCCAAUCUUAGCAAAAAAAAAUUUCCAACACCAAUUUCAACAUUUUCCCUCACGUGUUGCCAUUUAUACUAGUAAAAAUAGUACUCCUAAUAACCAGUAGUACUAAUAUAUUACCUGUUUAUAUUGUUUUCUUCAAGCCUUCAAACAGAAAGAUGACAAUUCCAACUCCUUCUGCGUUUGUGAUCCUUUAUUUCCUUCCAUUUUCUUCCCACACAACUAUGUAGAUUCAUGUUUAUCUAAGCCUUCUGUCUUUCACUCCCUCUCUCUGCACACGCCCACAUGUAUAUGCUUCAUGAAUAUAUCUUGGGAAAUACUGACCCCAUUUUUUUCUUUGGCUCUGCAGAUCAGUUUAAGGCUAUCAAUGAUGAAGGAAUGCCAAUGUACCAAAGGCCUUUCAUGAGAGGUAAAAUGUACAUUCACUUCACUGUUGAUUUCCCCGAGUCAUUAACACCAGAGCAGUGCAAGAACCUUGAGGCUGUGCUGCCUCCAAGACCCAAAUUGCAAGUGUCUGAUAUGGAAUUAGACGAGUGCGAGGAGACUACUUUGCAUGAUGUGAACAUUGAGGACGAGAUGCGAAGGAAGCAGCAAGCUGCCCAAGAGGCAUACGACGAAGAUGAUGAUAUGCCUGGUGGUGCACAGAGAGUCCAAUGUGCACAGCAGUAAUUUGGUAUUUGCUAUCUUGUGAUAUUGGGUAGAUUACUUACCAGUAAAGGAUAUGGAU
RNAcentral lists this long non-coding RNA (971 nucleotides) under Solanum tuberosum (potato). RNAcentral describes it as "long non-coding RNA (STUB_LNC010488)". Lineage: Eukaryota; Viridiplantae; Streptophyta; Magnoliopsida; Solanales; Solanaceae. The record is from RNAcentral.